AGAGUUUGAUCAUGGCUCAGAUUGAACGCUGGCGGCAGGCCUAACACAUGCAAGUCGAACGGUAACAGGAAACAGCUUGCUGUUUCGCUGACGAGUGGCGGACGGGUGAGUAAUGUCUGGGAAACUGCCUGAUGGGGGGGGAUAACUACUGGAAACGGUAGCUAAUACCGCAUAACGUCGCAAGACCAAAGAGGGGGACCUUCGGGCCUCUUGCCAUCGGAUGUGCCCAGAUGGGAUUAGCUUGUUGGUGGGGUAACGGCUCACCAAGGCGACGAUCCCUAGCUGGUCUGAGAGGAUGACCAGCCACACUGGAACUGAGACACGGUCCAGACUCCUACGGGAGGCAGCAGUGGGGAAUAUUGCACAAUGGGCGCAAGCCUGAUGCAGCCAUGCCGCGUGUAUGAAGAAGGCCUUCGGGUUGUAAAGUACUUUCAGCGGGGAGGAAGGGAGUAAAGUUAAUACCUUUGCUCAUUGACGUUACCCGCAGAAGAAGCACCGGCUAACUCCGUGCCAGCAGCCGCGGUAAUACGGAGGGUGCAAGCGUUAAUCGGAAUUACUGGGCGUAAAGCGCACGCAGGCGGUUUGUUAAGUCAGAUGUGAAAUCCCCGGGCUCAACCUGGGAACUGCAUCUGAUACUGGCAAGCUUGAGUCUCGUAGAGGGGGGUAGAAUUCCAGGUGUAGCGGUGAAAUGCGUAGAGAUCUGGAGGAAUACCGGUGGCGAAGGCGGCCCCCUGGACGAAGACUGACGCUCAGGUGCGAAAGCGUGGGGAGCAAACAGGAUUAGAUACCCUGGUAGUCCACGCCGUAAACGAUGUCGACUUGGAGGUUGUGCCCUUGAGGCGUGGCUUCCGGAGCUAACGCGUUAAGUCGACCGCCUGGGGAGUACGGCCGCAAGGUUAAAACUCAAAUGAAUUGACGGGGGCCCGCACAAGCGGUGGAGCAUGUGGUUUAAUUCGAUGCAACGCGAAGAACCUUACCUGGUCUUGACAUCCACGGAAGUUUUCAGAGAUGAGUUUGUGCCUUCGGGAACCGUGAGACAGGUGCUGCAUGGCUGUCGUCAGCUCGUGUUGUGAAAUGUUGGGUUAAGUCCCGCAACGAGCGCAACCCUUAUCCUUUGUUGCCAGCGGUCCGGCCGGGAACUCAAAGGAGACUGCCAGUGAUAAACUGGAGGAAGGUGGGGAUGACGUCAAGUCAUCAUGGCCCUUACGACCAGGGCUACACACGUGCUACAAUGGCGCAUACAAAGAGAAGCGACCUCGCGAGAGCAAGCGGACCUCAUAAAGUGCGUCGUAGUCCGGAUUGGAGUCUGCAACUCGACUCCAUGAAGUCGGAAUCGCUAGUAAUCGUGGAUCAGAAUGCCACGGUGAAUACGUUCCCGGGCCUUGUACACACCGCCCGUCACACCAUGGGAGUGGGUUGCAAAAGAAGUAGGUAGCUUAACCUUCGGGAGGGCGCUUACCACUUUGUGAUUCAUGACUGGGGUGAAGUCGUAACAAGGUAACCGUAGGGGAACCUGCGGUUGGAUCACCU
RNAcentral lists this ribosomal RNA (1530 nucleotides) under Escherichia coli O104:H4 str. 11-4404. RNAcentral's name for it is "bacterial SSU rRNA". It matches the Rfam family "Bacterial small subunit ribosomal RNA". Lineage: Bacteria; Pseudomonadati; Pseudomonadota; Gammaproteobacteria; Enterobacterales; Enterobacteriaceae. The record is from RNAcentral.